Molecule: ribosomal RNA, 469 nt
Filed under: uncultured bacterium
Lineage: Bacteria
Description: partial 16S ribosomal RNA
Rfam family: Bacterial small subunit ribosomal RNA
Source: RNAcentral
GACGAACGCUGGCGGCGUGCUUAACACAUGCAAGUCGAACGGAAAGGCCCUGCUUGCAGGGUGCUCGAGUGGCGAACGGGUGAGUAACACGUGGGUGAUCUGCCCCUUACUUUGGGAUAAGCCUGGGAAACUGGGUCUAAUACUGGAUAGGACCAUGCUGUAGGUGGUGUGGUGGAAAGAUUAGUUUCGGUAAGGGAUGAGCUCGCGGCCUAUCAGCUUGUUGGUGGGGUAAUGGCCUACCAAGGCGUCGACGGGUAGCCGGCCUGAGAGGGUGGACGGCCACAUUGGGACUGAGAUACGGCCCAGACGCCUACGGGAGGCAGCAGUGGGGAAUAGUGCACAAUGGGCGCAAGGCUGAUGCAGCGACGCCGCGUGGGGGAUGACGGCCUUCGGGUUGUAAACUCCUUUCAGCCAUGACGAAGCCCUUGUGGUGACGGUAGUGGUAGAAGAAGCACCGGCUAACUACGUG